This 468-nucleotide ribosomal RNA is filed under the name uncultured bacterium. RNAcentral's name for it is "partial 16S ribosomal RNA". It matches the Rfam family "Bacterial small subunit ribosomal RNA", at positions 28 to 507 of the family's 1533-position model. The record is from RNAcentral.
GACGAACGCUGGCGGCGUGCUUAACACAUGCCAGUCGAACGGAAAGGCCCUGCUUUUGUGGGGUGCUCGAGUGGCGAACGGGUGAGUAACACGUGAGUAACCUGCCCUUGACUUUGGGAUAACUUCAGGAAACUGGGGCUAAUACCGGAUAGGAGCUCCUGCUGCAUGGUGGGGGUUGGAAAGUUUCGGCGGUUGGGGAUGGACUCGCGGCUUAUCAGCUUGUUGGUGGGGUAGUGGCUUACCAAGGCUUUGACGGGUAGCCGGCCUGAGAGGGUGACCGGCCACAUUGGGACUGAGAUACGGCUCAGACUCCUACGGGGGGCAGCAGUGGGGAAUAUUGCACAAUGGGCGGAAGCCUGAUGCAGCAACGCCGCGUGCGGGAUGACGGCCUUCGGGUUGUAAACCGCUUUCGCCUGUGACGAAGCGUGAGUGACGGUAAUGGGUAAAGAAGCACCGGCUAACUACGUG